Anas platyrhynchos (mallard) is the source of this 4142-nucleotide long non-coding RNA. RefSeq lists it as uncharacterized. NCBI's taxonomy places the organism in Eukaryota, Metazoa, Chordata, Aves, Anseriformes, Anatidae. The record is from RefSeq and is a predicted model, not a curated record.
AGUCCAGUCUGGGCCUUCUGACAUGGCUCACGAUGUGAUUCAAAGGAGAUUAAGUAAGGAUGAUCAAGCAAUUUGCUACAAAAAUAUUCUGCUGAUCUGAAAACAAAACAAAAAACUAAUAGCGUAGCACCCCGAAGAUGCUGAAAAAAAAUAUGUUGUUGGGUGAAUGGGGGAGGGGAGUAAAGGGAGGAGGUGUUAGAGGAUAGCUCAUGAAUGAACAAAGGAUUGCGAAACAUUUUGGAGAAAGAGCCUUAAGGAGCUGUUGGAGACAAGAUAAAGCACUGACUUGAUCUCAGUCAGAAAUGCUGGAGGCCCGUUUUGGAGCACCCAUUCUCCCCACGAAGAGACGCUCUGGCAGUAAGUUGUGCAGAGGGAUGUGCAGCUCUUGCAAGAUGGGAAGAAUGAUCUGGAAACCAGAAUGCAAUAUUUCUCCCUGAUAACACUCUUUCCUGCCUCUCCCCAAACAAGAUUCCUCAAGAGACAAAUUCCUCCGGAGGUCCAGUGCUGUGAAACAUUUGUAAGGAUGUCUCCCACCACUCCAGUCUUGGAAAGAAUCAUGCCAUCUCACACAGACCCUGCAGUUAUUUGGUGAAACAGAUCCAACUAAAGUCAAUGGUAAAACAUCUGUUGGAGUUUUACCCAGGAACUUUAAUGGAGCCAGGAUGUCAGCCACUGAAUUUUGGCACUCUGUAGUAGACAAAUAUUGUGAUCUGAGAUUCUCAAGACAGCUGGCCUCCAACCUUCCUGUCUGCACACUAGAAAUAAUUCUGGAGUUUAUCAGUUCUGUACCAUAAUCAGUUCAUCCAGCCAUAAAACCUAUUGGUGUCCUUGUUUAACCAUUUAUCUACCUCCAUACCCUCUAAUAUGGCUAUUAACUUUCCUACUCUAAUUAGUUGUAUUUUUAUCAAUACAAGGUUGGAUUUAAGGGAAUAAAGCAUUUUCUGCCAAACUAUUUGUCCCCAGGGUUUCUAAAUCUUCCUUUCUUUACUAUCACUGAAAAGGGAUCAAAGUGAAACUCAGGAGACAUAUGUGGAACUUCCUUCUGGAAGCAGGGAAUGUAGGUUAUAUUCAAGGUGUGAUGGGGAGCAAUUUAGCUAAGCGGGAACACUAACAUGUUACAGAGUGCUACACAGGCAAUUUCUCAUGGUUGUGCUCCCAGCAUUCUGAAAUACACACAGGCCAGCAGAGGGUGGAAAAUAUUGGAAAAACCAAGGCAGAAGUGGUGUAACCCCUAAGGAUUGGCUCCUCCAUGCUGAGAGAGAUUUACUGUAGCUGUUGCAAAGGCUGUUUGUUGAAGAGGAGAUUAAACAGGAGACCCUAUUCAGAGCUAGUGGUCACUUAGAAGAUCUUGGAAGCAUUCCUGGACAAGGACACAGCCAACCAAAGCUCAAGCUGAGCCUCGCAAAGCCAUCCCUACUGCACACAAAAGCACCAGGAGCUGUUCCCAUCCCAUAUUCAAUUCAGCGUCCAAAGGAAUGAAAACCCUGCUAUUAUGAGAGACUGUGAACUCCAGGAUGAUGGUAGAAGGGAAUAGCAUCUGCGCAUAUGGACCAGUAUAAAGGAUUUAAUCAAACAUCAAAUUUUUUUAAAAACAGAUUGCACAAAUAUCCACCAGGAUUGAUGUCCACCUGAAAAUCAUCACGCCAUGACAGGAGUUUUUUGAGAUGUGCCCUUGGGAUCUCUACUUGAAGCCUAUGAUUCUUUGAUCUCCUUAGGGCUAAUGAACUUAUCUUGUCCCUUCUUUGAGAUCAAGAUUGAGAGUCUAUUUUUGAGACACUGAUGUCUGUGAGGUCUUACACUAAAUAUUUUAGUAUCUCCAUUUUUAUACACUAUUUCUAAAAUGAUGAGAUGUUUUAUCCCACAGUUUGAUAGUGUCUGUCAAGUUGGACUAUAACCUUAAUCAUGAUUAUAUACAAAAAAAAAAAUAAAAUCCUGAAAAUAUCAACACGUAUCCAGUGCCCAACUCUCUGGCUGACCCUCCAAUCUGCUCACAUCAUGAACGCAUAAACAGUGCAUUUGAUCAUUAAUUUCUUUGCUGAUGUAUUUUGGAAGAGUAGAUUUGAAGUGUGCAUCCCUGGGUAAAAAGCCAUCAGAGCACUUCUCCUCUAUUUGCUCCUUGUAGGGGUGGACAGAGCAGCUGGGUCCUGGUCUACAUGCAUUGCGGAUUUGGUGGGAUAUCAGUGUUGACCCCACACUGGAAACUCAUGGCAGUGUGGGCAGGCUUUGCCAACAGCCUUGACAUUUCAUGUCACAGGACAGCCAGUACCAAAGCAUGAGUGAGGGCUCCAGGAAAGCCAGGAAAGACAAAAGAAGUAGAUCUAAACAAUAGAGUUAUUGCUUAAACUCUAAGCACUCUCACUCCCAUCUGUUCGCCCUCACCUCCUAGGCAUCUCCUUCACCUUCACGCACCACAGAGGUUGGCUUGGCUUAUUCUCUCUUGAACACAUUCAUAUUUUAGGAUGCCAGAUUCAGACAUUUGUUAUGGCUAUUGGCACCCUACCUCACAUCCAGAGCUAAAGAUUCCUGUCUCUAUGGAUAUUUCCCUUUUUCUUCGCUCCCAUUUUAUAAACAUCACCAUAUUUGACCAGAAUAAAUCUCUCAGUGGUCAGAAGUAAACAGGGAAAUUAAUUAUUUUGAUAGUCAAUUUUCAUGUCAGUGUGGAUUUUAUUUGUUUGUUUUGUUUUCGGUGGAUCAGGUAGUGACUUGGUGAUCUUAGAGGUCUGUUCCAACUUAAAUGAUUUUCUGAUUCUGCAGAUUGACCAUAAUCUUCUGCUCUCGGUGCUAUUCCUCAGAUCCUCUGAUUCUCUCAAACUUUUGCUAAAAGUUUCCUAUGGUGGUUUGAAGAAACAAAAUGAUUUAAUAAGAUAAGUGGUAAGAGAAAUGCAAAAGGAAAUAAAUAGUCUAAUUUGAAAUGACUGUCUUAGUGGUACUUUUGGAAAUAAGAUAGUUCAUUCCAUUCCACAGCCAGAAGCACUUUUAUUCCUGAAAACAAUUGUAUGAUGUCUGCAACCAGGAGACAUGUGUCUGUAAGAGGUGAUUCCUUCCAAUUCAGCUUUUUGCCCAACAAUUUUUGCUGCUUCCUUAUCAUCUUUCUUUCUGUUUUAAAUUUUCUAGAUAGCUUGUCUUGGUAAAAGCACAUUUCAGGUCAGAUGCAGGCUGAUCAUGGAAGCUUUUAAACCCCCUUGCUGACCUGGAAUUAGUAGAUUCAUGCAACUUUCCACCAAAACCAGUACACCAUAAAAUAAGUGUUUUACGCUACACUGGUAUUGCUGGCAAUGCAUAAAAUAAAUGUAUGUGCAAUGCCAUAACUUCAGUCUAAAAUACUACCUACAAAUUUAAUAGAAGAAUAGAUAUUGCUUCAGUUGUACAGUGUCUAACACGGUAAGUUUUUUCUUGGUUGUUCUUUAUACAUUAUUUGUCUAAACGCUUAGUGACACUGAACAAGACACCUACAUGGAUAUACAUGCAGUAAACUUCCACAGCUCCAUGACAUCCCAUAUCAUUGUAACAGUAAAAUACAGCCCUGUUACCCACUUAGCUGUGGACUGGAAUAAACUUUCUGUUUAUCGUCUAUUCACUCAUCUUCCAAAUGUCUCAUUAAUGUUGUUUUUCUCAGUGUCUUGAUGUUAAUCUUUCAGUAUUUUAUCCCAGAACUUAUGAUAAUGAAAAAUGAGUCUGAAUCCUAACUAAUACAGCAGAUUCUGAAUAUUUAGAGGACUGCAUUCUAAUAGACAGAUUCAAAGUAACCUUCACUUUCAAACUUGAAAAGAAAGUUGUGUUUCCUUCUAUCUGGUUUAGAAUAACCAGAAAUAAAACUGGCCAGAAGCGUGUUCAGCUAUGCACCAACUAUGCUCACCAAAGCAUCACAAUGCCCACACCUAGUCCUCUAUGUCUGAAUAGGAGGGUUUUCCUCCAGGUUUAGCAGAAAAAGGAAAUUAGCUGUUGGCAAUGGAUGAGCGGGAUAUAUAAGACAAUGGAGAAUGAAAUACUUGGAAGUUAGGGUGUGUGUGUUUUCUUUUUUUUUUUUUUAAUUUUAUUUAUAUAUUUAUUUUCUGAAAAUGCAUUUCAUUGUGAAACUUUUCUUACAUUUUAGAUCAUAUAUUCAGUUGUGUAAAUUUCAUAUCUGAAAAGGCAAUAAAAUA